This 250-nucleotide ribosomal RNA is filed under the name uncultured prokaryote. Its description in RNAcentral is "partial 16S ribosomal RNA". It matches the Rfam family "Bacterial small subunit ribosomal RNA", at positions 524 to 773 of the family's 1533-position model. The record is from RNAcentral.
UACAGAGGCGACGAGCGUUGUUCGGAUUUACUGGGCGUAAAGCGUGCGCAGGCGGUGGACCAUGUCCGACGUGAAAUCCCGGGGCUCAGCUCCGGAAGUGCGUCGGAAACCGGUCCGCUGGAGACCGGGAAGGGAGUCUGGAACACACGGUGUAGCGGUGAAAUGCGUUGAUAUCGUGUGGAACACCGGAAGCGAAGGCGAGACUCUGGAACGGAUCUGACGCUCAUGCACGAAAGCGUGGGGAGCAAAC